AUGCACGCUGGCGGCGUGCCUCAUACAUGCAGGUCGAGCGAACAGAUAAGGAGCUUGCUCCUUUGACGUUAGCGGCGGACGGGUGAGUAACACGUGGGUAACCUACCUAUAAGACUGGGAUAACUUCGGGAAACCGGAGCUAAUACCGGAUAACAUUUGGAACCGCAUGGUUCUAAAGUGAAAGAUGGUUUUGCUAUCACUUAUAGAUGGACCCGCGCCGUAUUAGCUAGUUGGUAAGGUAACGGCUUACCAAGGCGACGAUACGUAGCCGACCUGAGAGGGUGAUCGGCCACACUGGAACUGAGACACGGUCCAGACUCCUACGGGAGGCAGCAGUAGGGAAUCUUCCGCAAUGGGCGAAAGCCUGACGGAGCAACGCCGCGUGAGUGAUGAAGGGUUUCGGCUCGUAAAACUCUGUUAUUAGGGAAGAACAAAUGUGUAAGUAACUGUGCACGUCUUGACGGUACCUAAUCAGAAAGCCACGGCUAACUACGUG
Molecule: ribosomal RNA, 496 nt
Filed under: uncultured bacterium
Lineage: Bacteria
Description: partial 16S ribosomal RNA
Rfam family: Bacterial small subunit ribosomal RNA
Source: RNAcentral